GACGGACGCUGGCGGCGUGCCUAAUACAUGCAAGUAGAACGCUGAAGCUUGGUGCUUGCACCGAGCGGAUGAGUUGCGAACGGGUGAGUAACGCGUAGGUAACCUGCCUGGUAGCGGGGGAUAACUAUUGGAAACGAUAGCUAAUACCGCAUAAGAGUAGAUGUUGCAUGACAUUUGCUUAAAAGGUGCAAUUGCAUCACUACCAGAUGGACCUGCGUUGUAUUAGCUAGUUGGUGAGGUAACGGCUCACCAAGGCAACGAUACAUAGCCGACCUGAGAGGGUGAUCGGCCACACUGGGACUGAGACACGGCCCAGACUCCUACGGGAGGCAGCAGUAGGGAAUCUUCGGCAAUGGACGGAAGUCUGACCGAGCAACGCCGCGUGAGUGAAGAAGGUUGUCGGAUCGUAAAGCUCUGUUGUAAGAGAAGAACGAGUGUGAGAGUGGAAAGUUCACACUGUGACGGUAUCUUACCAGAAAGGGACGGCUAACUACGUG
Molecule: ribosomal RNA, 497 nt
Filed under: uncultured bacterium
Lineage: Bacteria
Description: partial 16S ribosomal RNA
Rfam family: Bacterial small subunit ribosomal RNA
Source: RNAcentral